Molecule: small nucleolar RNA, 96 nt
Filed under: Petasospora fabianii
Lineage: Eukaryota; Fungi; Ascomycota; Saccharomycetes; Phaffomycetales; Wickerhamomycetaceae
Source: RNAcentral
UUUCAUGAUGAGAACACGUCCUUAGGACAAACUAUAAACCCAGCUCUUCGACUUUUAAUCUGUAUAUGAGACGAAAACUUGUCAAACGCUCUGAUC